UACAGAGGUCCCAAGCGUUGUUCGGAUUCACUGGGCGUAAAGGGUGCGUAGGCGGUCGGGUAAGUCUGAUGUGAAAUCUCACAGCUUAACUGUGAAACUGCAUUGGAUACUAUCCGGCUAGAGGAAUGGAGGGGAGACUGGAAUACUUGGUGUAGCAGUGAAAUGCGUAGAUAUCAGGAGGAACACCGGUGGCGAAGGCGGGUCUCUGGGCAGUAACUGACGCUGAGGAGCGAAAGCGUGGGGAGCGAACAGG
Molecule: ribosomal RNA, 253 nt
Filed under: uncultured bacterium
Lineage: Bacteria
Description: partial 16S ribosomal RNA
Rfam family: Bacterial small subunit ribosomal RNA
Source: RNAcentral